GGGGCCGACAGGAUUCGACCGGACAGGGAAGGCAUGACGUGGCGCGUCGAGGGGCGUGAUGGCCUCGUAAAAAUCACGCACACUCAUAACUGCCAACAGCGGUUAUCGUCUCGCGGCCUAACGAAGGCCGCAGGUCCCGCGACCCACGCCUGAUAGGACGCGGGACCUAGACAUCAGGCUGGUCCGCCACUCGGUGCUACCGGGAGUGCGGAUGAGAAAUCACCGGGUGCUGGGCUCGAGGCAACGCCGCUGGCGGCGGCGCCGCGGGCCGAGAUCAAAUCGCCAGACACACGCGUAGAGGCGGCAUGCUGACUGCCACGGGACGGGGGUUCGAUUCCCCCCGGCUCCAUUC
This 352-nucleotide transfer-messenger RNA is filed under the name Phycisphaerales. RNAcentral's name for it is "JAEUIZ01 sp016793805 Standard tmRNA". It matches the Rfam family "transfer-messenger RNA". Rfam says of the family: Bacterial tmRNA, also known as 10Sa RNA or SsrA, is named for its dual tRNA and mRNA-like properties. Its role is to liberate the mRNA from a stalled ribosome. To accomplish this part of the tmRNA is used as a reading frame that ends in a translation stop signal. RNAcentral also lists the same sequence under 1 other name. The record is from RNAcentral. Lineage: Bacteria; Pseudomonadati; Planctomycetota; Phycisphaerae.